UACGGGGGGAGCAAGCGUUGUUCGGAUUUACUGGGCGUAAAGGGCGCGUAGGCGGUCAGCACAAGUCAGUUGUGAAAUCUCCGGGCUUAACUCGGAAAGGUCAACUGAUACUGUGCGACUAGAGUGCGGAAGGGGCAACUGGAAUUCUCGGUGUAGCGGUGAAAUGCGUAGAUAUCGAGAGGAACACCUGCGGCGAAGGCGGCUCACUGGACCGGUACUGACGCUGAGGCUCGAAAGCGUGGGGAUCAAACAGG
This 254-nucleotide ribosomal RNA is filed under the name uncultured bacterium. RNAcentral's name for it is "partial 16S ribosomal RNA". It matches the Rfam family "Bacterial small subunit ribosomal RNA", at positions 524 to 776 of the family's 1533-position model. The record is from RNAcentral.